RNAcentral lists this long non-coding RNA (30932 nucleotides) under Vitis vinifera (wine grape). Its description in RNAcentral is "long non-coding RNA (VVIN_LNC004312)". The record is from RNAcentral. Lineage: Eukaryota; Viridiplantae; Streptophyta; Magnoliopsida; Vitales; Vitaceae.
UUUGAACUCCAGGGGUUGCAUGGAUGAAUGCUGGAUUUCCUGGCCCCCCUUGCCAUGAUGCUGGAUUAACUGAAAUGAAACCAAUCACAAAAUCUGAAUGAUCCUCAGCAAUUUUUGCUGCUGCAGCCGUGUAGUCUCCCUUGGCAAGGUUACCAGAAGAACUCAUUUCUGCAAGAAGCAACAGGCCCCUACCACGAGGCAAACCCUAGGAACAUUGCAAGAGUAAUAAGAAAUUAGAGAAACAAUAGUUCCAAGGCUUUUCUACAAGUCCAGAUUGAUAUUAGGUUAAACUAUUAAUGCAAACCUUCAGUUUCAGACCAUCCACAAUUCCAGGACCAGAGAUUAUGUGAGCAUUAACUAUAUCUGCCCAGUCCAAUAUCCGAAAGAUACCUCUGCAAACAGCAGUGCCAAGAGCUGUUAAGAAAAUGCAAGAAAAGCAACAGAAAAAUAAAUUAAGACAUACCAGAUGCAGGAAAAGUGAGACUCACCCUUCAUACUGCAUGGUCACUGUGUUACCAAUGUCAGCAAACUUACGAUCUUCAAAGAUUAAGAAGUUAUGUCUCUCUGCAAUCUUCAAAAGGAUUAAACACACAAUCAGCAAUAACUUAACAAUAACUACAAUAAGACUACCCAAUCAGCUAAUGACAAAACUCAGAACUUCGGAACUGCUAUUGCACAAGGAACAUUGAUGCCUGACAAUUCAAAGACAGAAAGCAAAUAGGGAAUAUCUAUGCUUACAAGCCUAUUCUUUUUAUCAGAGCCUUUUUUGUUUUUUUGUUUUUUUUUAGGUAAAUCUUUGUCCCUACUGGGACUUGAACCUAGCACCUCCCACAAACCCUCCCCGUCCCUUUACCACUUCAGCCAGGUCUAAAGGGCUUGUUUUUAUCAGAGCUUAUAAGCCUAAUUUAAUUCCAAAAGAGAUGAUACAGUAAAAAUAAUGAAAAUUUCCCCUAAAUAAUGCUACAUAGCCUAUGGGAAACACAGAAAGAAAGCUUUUCCACGUUAACCAUUUUAACGAUAUAUGAAAACAAAGAAGAUUGCCAAAUGCUACAUCCCAUUAACCAAAAAAAUAAAUCAUUUCUCUCCCUAUUUGCUACUUUAUACAUGUCAAGAUACAUGGCUUCCAUAAGAAGACAUGAAAAUGGAUAUUAUUUAGUAAAUUUAUUAUGGUAAAGAAAGAUUGAGUUUAAUUGAGAACAAUAUGAGUUAAGAGGUAAACUGGUAAAGAGAGGUCUAUAGUGAUCUUAUGUUUUCAGAACCUAUCAUUCAGACUGAAUGUGGAAGCUGCAACUUUUAACAUAUUAUCAGGUUGAGAGUGGGAAAAUGUCAAGGAGGCAAUGGUGGACUGUAGAAAGUGAUCAAGAGAUAAGGUUCACAAUCGUGCAUAGUUUCGGUAUCUUGUUUUAUGAUGAUGUUCUGAGACAUAAUUCAUAAGGGUACUAUAAAGCACUUUCAGACUUUUCAGAAAACUGAACCUUCUCUAUUUUUAUGAUUAUAGGCAGGAAGAAAAGUUUUCAGGGUGAAUUAUUGCAUUGACACUUUUUUUUAUUAGUUGCCAUUAUAUACAUGGGUUACCCACCUCAACCCCAUUUCUUGUGCCCUUAAUCUAUUUGAUAAAUCACUGAUAAAAAAAUUUCAUCACCACCAAACGUGUGUGUGUGCGCGUGUGCAUGUUAGGUAUAUGUAUAGAUCACCAAUCCAAUAAAAGAAUAUACAUACAUACAUAUACAUAUAUAUAUAUAUAUAUAUAUAGAUAUAUAUAUAUAUAUGUAUGUAUGUAUUCAGGGCAGGUCUUCUGUACCAUUGAAUUUCAAUGAUGCCAUAAUGUAGCCCAUCAUUCAACAUGGGGCCAUUAAAGAACUGUGAGGCAUCGACAGCAUUGCUGGUAUAGGAUUAGUAGGAUUCCACAAAAUGGCAUCAAUUCAAACCUUUACCAUCAUUAGUGAUAUUUGGACCCCCUUUAAAAUGGGCAAUUUAUUUCUUCAAGUUUUAUACGAAGUGCAAUAGAACAGUCCAAUGCAAUGUGGAAAAAUUUUGCUAACUACAUGCAGUAGAUAAUCUGUGCAUGCUACAACUAUCUAUAACGCAAAGAAACAGAGUGCUCAUCUUGUACAAGGCAAACUCAUUCCAAACAGUAAAUAUUCAAAAACAAGAAAACAAUAAAAACUUGGUCAAAGGAAACUUAAAGUAUAUCCAUACCGAUCGAAGUUUGGAACCAAAAUCUGGGGUGAAAUCGGGGAAUAUGUCUACAUGGGUUUUUAAUAAGCAGAUCUCUGGCCCAACCUGCAAGAAUAUCCAAGGCAGCAUCAGCAACAACAGGUAACUUUUAACCUAGUAGAUUCUACAUUUCGUUUCAAAUCUUCUCCUCACCAAAAUGAUGUACUGUGUUGUGAACCAAACAUUACAAUUUUAACUUGAAAAUUUGAUUUGAGGAUUUUCUCCUAUUUCACAAUAUUAACUUAGUCAUAUCUUGAAGAUAACAACAUGAGCCACAAAAAAUGGAAACUCAAUCUUCUAGUUUCAAUGUCAAUGCCACAGCAGGUAUUCCACCAAUCUUAAAUUCACAUUUUCAGGAAGAUCCAACUGAAGUCAACAUGUCACAGGCUUGAACAUCAAAAGCCAAGGGCAGGCCGACGCUAUUUUGGACAAGAAAUUCAGGUCCAAUGUAGGCUCGAAUACCAUAAUCUGGGCCAAGCCCAAAAACUGGUUGGGCCUAAAACUUUAUGGCCAACCAGGCUGAGCCCAAAAAUAGUUCAGGCAUCUUUUUUGCACUCUGAUCAAACACAGCUCAAAAGCAAGUGGGACCAAUCUGGGGAGAGUGGCUCCAGAGCAGAUGCUUAUACUAUGAUCAGAGCAUGUCACGGCCCCAGUAGAAUUAACAUUUCCCCCUACUACACAUCUCAAAACCUAAGGGAAUGAUAAAAUACCCAAUACCUUGCCUAAAGAUAUUCUUAUAUUCAAAUACCUAAGCCACGUGAAAAAGUGAAAAAUAUAAAUUAAUUUCUCAUUUUCUCUGUUUGGUUGCUGAGAAAAUACAAUAAAAGAACAGGAAAGACUCAUCUCUUAAUGAUUUGGGACCUCAAAGCACUCCAAUCUUCUAUCACCUAAGCUUUAUUCACUUCAGAUUUUUUUUCACUUCCAGCCAAAUAAAUAAUACUUGUUUGAAGAUUUUACCAAGAAACCAAAAAAAAUUAAAAAAUUUAAAAAGAACAAAAUUUUCUCACCUUCUCAGCAAUGUCGAGCAACUCAGCAGCAGUGCCAACAUCUGCAGCCAAACACAGAUUACUCUGCUUCUCCACCAUCACCUCAAACAGCCUCUUCCCCGUUGGAUUCUUCGCCAGCUUUGCCCUCUCCCCAUACGACGAAACCCUAGACGCAACCUUAGCCUUCUCCGGCACCGAAACCUUCGAAUUCUCCUCCAAGAAUCUCAGCACCAUCGCCUCCGUUUCGUCUGAAACCUUUCCCUUCUCCCUUAACACCCCAACCAUCUCCCUCAGAUUCAUCAAGGAAUGCAACGUUAUCCCAUUCUCAGCCAGAUUCUCCCUCCCGCCCUGCUCCCGAUCGAUGAGAACCACAGCGUCAACCACCUUCAGCCCCGCGGCACGCAGCGGGGCAGCGGUUUCAAGGACGGAGGUGCCGCUGGUGACGAGGUCUUCAAUGAUGAGGCAGGUCUGGUCAGGGUUAAAGGAGCCCUCGAUGGCCUUGGAGGUUCCGUAGUCUUUGAUCUCCUUGCGGCGCAUGACCAUAGGGACGGCGGUGGUCACAGAGACAGUGGUGGCGAUGGGGAGGGCGGUGUAGGGAACGCCGCAAAUGACAUCAUAGUGGGUGGUGGAAGGGAUGGUGGAGACAAGGGUUUGGGAGAUCUCACGGAGGAGAGUGGGGUAGGAGACGAUGAGGCGGAGGUCAAUGUAUAUUGGGGAGGUGAUGCCAGACUUGAGCUUGAAGGUGCCGAACUUGACGGCAGAAAUUUCAUGGAGCUUCAGGAUGAGAGACUCCAUUGAUGAUGAUGCUGCCGAGCUUGUCAUCCCUUCACCCUCUUCAAUCGCCUGUGAGGAGAAGAAAGACUCAUGUUUGGUGUAGCCUUUAAAGCACCGAGGGCAUCCAAAUUUUGUGAAUAUUUUAUAUAUCUAUCAAAAAUUAAAUUAUUAUUUUAUCUGAAAAAAAAAUUAUUCCAAAUUUUUUAAAAUAAAUAUUUAAAUUAUUUUAUUUUUUAUCAAGAAAUGUUAUAAAAUAUAAAAAUAUUUUCUGUUCUUCAUAUUUAACUUUGGUUUGUCUCUUUUUAGUUAAUUAAUUUUUUUAGCUAAAUUGUUAAAAAUUAAAUAUUUGUUCAAAUCUUCUCCAUAGAAGAUAAGAAAUUUAUUUAUUUAUAUUAAUCAAUUUAAUUCACAUCAUCAUUAAUAUUUUAAUAAUUAAAUAUUAUAUAAUUUAAUCAUUUUAUUUCUAUAAGUAAAGUUAUUGAUUGAAGGUUUAGAUAAGUUCAUAACUUGGACAUGUUGAUGGAAUUGACGAAUAACCUGAGUCCAACUCGAAUUAUGAAACAAUAAAUUCAAACUCAACUCAACCUUUACUUGAGAUAUUCAAUGUAAGCCCAAUGCAAUCUUAUUAUAUAAAAUUUGGGUUGAAUUCAGAUUGAUUAAGGUAGACUCAGGUUGGAUUAAUCGGGUUGUAUGAUUCAAAAUUUAUUUAUAGUGGAUUUAAUUUAAUUUAAUUUUUUUUGUAUAUAUUCAUAUCAAAAUUUAGAUAUUAAAUAAAACAAAAUUUCAAGAUAAUAAUAAAAAAAAAGUAAAAAUAAAUUAACUUAUAUAUCUUUCUAGAAAAUUGAAAAAGCAUAUAAAUAUAAUUAUAACUUGAUGCCUAUUUUUUAAAAUUUUAAAAGAAAAUGAAUAUUAUUAUAUAAAAAUAAUAGAUAUUAUAAAUAUUAUAAAAAUAUUAAAUUGGAUUAGGUUUGAAUCUUGACUAGAGCCCAAACUAAAUUAAGAUUAGAUUGAAAAAUUUUAACCCAAGUUCAACCCCAAUAUUAAAAAUAUUUGUUUAAACCUGUUAAAAUAUUGGGUUAAGUUAGAUCAUCUCACCCAAAUUCUACCCUUAGGUGAAUGUAUCACAUCAAUUUAAUUUAAUCACUUUAAGCUUGUAUUAAAGUUUAGUACUUUGAGAAGUAUUUUAAAUAAUAUCUAUUAAAUAUUAUUUAAAAAUCACUUUUAAGUAAUUUUCAAGAUUUUUUUAAAGUAUUCAAGUCUUUCCAAACCAUAUUCUACUAUAGAGUGUGGGUUCAAAGUGACUUUUAUGGCUAUCAAAAUAUCCAAUGAAAAUCAUGUUUUAAAUAAAAACAAAUUUAUUAGAAAUUAUAUUUUGAAAUUUCGAAUUUAACAUAGUGGAUUAAUUGCUUUGUUUGGAAAUUGUAUUUUAAAAUUAGAACUUUAAUAUAAAAAUAAUGUUUUAAAAACAAUAUUUGAAAAUUUUGAUUUUUAAUUUGAAUUUUUUUUAAUUAUGAUUUAAAAUUAAUUAAAAAAAAGAUUUUUAAUUAAAAUCUUGUAUGGUGAAGGGGAAUUUGAAGCAACAUUCUUCACGAGUAUAAAAAAGUGUCUUUGAGAUAAUGAUAAGAUAAUAUUGCAAUUGAGUGAUGAUGACAGCCACUUGCUAGUGAAAGCAAAAGUCGCCCCCAACUUUCCUUUCUUUUACUUUUAGGGUAUUCGCUAACAAAGUCAUUGUUAUCUGCUAUCCACUUUCAAGGGUAAGGCUUUCUAGAGGCCACUUCCAUGGAGGAUUGCAUUUUCUUUUGAGUUUUACUCAUAUUUACUUAGUCAACAUUUCAUACAUUUUUCUUUAAAUAUUCUAUAUAAAAUGGAAAACUCUAUAAAUUUUAGUUUAAAAUUUAUUAUUUUUUAAAAAUAGUUUAAAACAAAUUAAAGUAUUAAAAAAAUGUAUUACCUAAAUCUUAAAAAAAAUUAAAUAUAAUUUUUAAAGUCAUAAGAUGAGUUACAAUAAGAGUUAUUAUAUAUUAUAUAGAAUUUAUUAUUAUUUUUAUUUUAAAAAUAGAAAAUAAGAAAUAUAUCGGGUUUUUAUUAUAUUUGUGAGGAUAAGUGUGUUUAUUUAAUUUUUCAAAAAGAGAAAAACGAAAACUGAAGUUCAAGGAAAUGUCAUUAGGAAAAUUGUGUUUCAUUCACUUAGAAAAAAAGAUUAAAAUUUUUAUAAAAAUAAUUCAAAUUUUAUGUAGUCAUCAGUAAAAUGUAAUAUUUAAGAUGAUCAAAUAUAGUAGCUAUUUCUUUAAAAUAUUAUGUCUGUAAUAACUUUGAUAGAAAAACGGACAAAAUCUUAAUUAUUUUUACACACAUAUGAAUUUUGAAUUUUAUAAACUUAAUUUCUUAAUAAUGAUUUUUCUAAAAUAAGUGUGACUUUGAUGAUGGCUUUUGACCAUGUAGUUGACACUAUGUGCAAAGCAAAUAAUACAAAGAUGUAGGCAAUGUUGAGACAGAGUUCCUCCUUUCUCCUUAAGAACACCUGUGUCUUAGGAUUUCAACCAAUGGGUGUUGCAUGUCACCCUUCCCUUCAGCAAAAAGAAGCAGAGCUUAGGAAGGGCAAACCAGUAUGUGAAUGGGUUCUCGAUGUGAUUAGGAAAUUUUGAAUUUCAUCGUCUUUCCUUUCUUCCUACAUGUGGUGAAGAAACUUACACAUUCGCUAUAUUUAUGAGAAGACAUCGUAAUGGUCAAUUCUUACAUAGAAUUUGGGCUUCUUAAGCUGUGGUCUGGGCUGUACAUAGAAUUUUCCCACAAGGUCAUGUGGUUGAAUGGCUUUCUGCUUCUGUUUCUUUUCUUCAACCCACAAAAUUAGUGCAUUUCAAUCUCCAGGUAUUGUACUUCAAUUGAUGGAUAUGCUCCCCAUCUAAUUCAAUGCAGGGGAUGUGGGCAAUAUUGGUCCAAUGUUCUCUUUUGUCCUUUAAGCAUCUUUCUUUUGGCAUAGGAUGAUCAUUGCUUUCCAGUCUUUCAAGUGUUGCCGGCAGCAGCCCUAAGGAUCGAAGGCUGGGGCAGUAUGAGAUAUUUAGAACGAGGUUUUGGAGAGCCAGGGAGGCUCGGGAUUCCAUUCCACUGAUUGUAAUUUACAUAUUUUAUGUUACAAUACCACACUGCACACACUGGUUAGUUCAUAAGAAAAUAAAAGAAAACUGGAAAAAAAAAAACAGAGAAUUAAGGAAGAAGAUUAGACCGAGUCUUGUGGAAAACACAAUCUCCUUAAAACAGAUUCGCCUUCUCCACAGGUGCUUUGAGAAUCGCAAGGCGUCUGUCUCCCAAGAUAAAACGAUCUUCGAAUGGCAGCAACAGCACUCUGCAGCCACUCCGGCGAACUGGAAAUUGUUCAACUCUAUCACGGACACGGAAUGAAGGAACUCUUAAACACUCUGACAAUACUCCAAAGUUUUUCUCUUUCUGUACUUAUGAAAGAAAGUCUACCACUAUUUAUAGACUUCAAGGAGGGAAGAAUACAGACAGGUUCAGAAAGCCAAACUGAAUUUGGCUUCUUGAGACUUUUAAAAAUUUUGGAAAAAAUGAUGAAUUUAUUUAAUUCAAGGGAUUUACUUAAUUUCAUUCAUCCCCUUUUUCCAACAUUUUAAUUACAAAAUUUGUUUGAAGUACAAUAUUGUACAAAGUAAAUGUGAAAAAAAAAGCCUUAAAAAACAUAUUAAGUGAUUUCUACCAAAAGAAAAAGAAAAAAUAUUAAAAAAAGAAAGAAGAGGUUUUCAUGCUUUAUUUUAUUAUAUAACAUAUGAAAGAAAUCAAAUAAAAUUAAAAUUAGUUAAGAAUUUAUAUAUUUUUAAAUUAUUUAAUCUUUAUAUAUGAAAAUUAAAACAAGUUAAAUGAGUUGAAGUAGCGUUUUUAUUUUUAUUUUAUUUUAUUUUAAAUGAGUGGAAGUCAAAUAGAGCCUAAAAGUUUAAGAAUACCAAGAGCUAAUAUGAGAGGUGGAAUUGACUAAUUCAAAAUUAUUUUGGCUUGAUUGAUUUGUUUAUUUGGGGAAGUUUCUUCCUCUAUAGAAUUCGCCUAUAAACUUUUUCAGAUUUCUACGAGUUCAUGGCAAUUCAAGCACAUUCAUACCAUUCCCUUCAUUUUGCAAAUAAUCAAAAUCACUUCUUCAUUCCACCAUUAACUCUUCAAUGUUCUCCUUUCUCUUGAAAUUAAUAUCCAUAAUACCUCUAAUAUUUUCUAUAACCUUGAAAGAGCAGAUAUCCUCAAAGCAACUAUGAGCUUUUUUAGAUUUCUAUGAGGUCGUAGUAACUCAAGCUCAUUCAUAUCAGUCCCUUCAUUUUGCAAAUCUUCAAAAUCACUUUGUCAUUCCAUCAUUAACUCUUCAAUGUUCUCCUUUCUCUUUAAAUUAGCAUCCAUCAAUCAGAUAUCGUCUACUUUAUUAAAAUAUUUAGGCUCCAUUUCCUGCAUGACGUUCCAAGGAGCCUAGGGAUUCCAUCAUCCAGAUUCCAAGAGAGGUGAGAGAUGUAAGAAGAAGACACUCAUCAUUUGAAAGGAAACCAUUUAUGAGAGAACAUCUCAAAUACGCAAUGACGAAAUAAGCUUGGGACUUAUGUGUUAACACAAAAAGUAUUUUAUUUCAUUUUUUAUACAUUAUUUUCUCUCACUAGCAUAAGUAACUUAAGCAACACUAAAAAGAUAGCUAGAUUUUGGGUUAAGCUUCCAAUUGUGUUGAUUGCGGGAGUUGAAGUUCUGGUUGCACCUAGACAUGUACGUUUAUGGUUUCAUUUUAAGUUGUUUCAUCACCCCCUCAUCCUCUAAGACAGAAAACAUUUGUGAAAGUAAUGAAAUUAAAGGUACACCAAGAUUUACGUGGAAAACCCUCCAAUGAUGAGGGAAAAACCACGGGCCGAUAUAGAAAUAAUCCACUAUGGUAAAAAGGAAAUUACAAUAUUCUCACAAAUUUCUUUUUAAAAAGAAAGGAAAAAAAGCUUGAGGUAUUACAACUUGUAAGGAAAUAAAAAUGUUCAAAUCACCAUACUAGAAAACCAAAUCCUGCAAAAACAUCUGCUGCUUAUGUCUAAGGAGAAAACAAACUUCACAUUUCUUACAUUCUACACUAAGCACCGAAACCAAAGACGGUUGAUUUUGCUUGAGCCACUACAAUUGUAAAAGCACAACAUUGACGUCCUUAAGUUCAGUUCUUCUUGGAGAGCCAUAAGCGUCAAAAUUCCUUUCAUUUUUAUGCCAUCAACUAGCAAAAACGUCAUUGUAUGGCAAAUCCAUCAAGCUUCCACCACCUACCACCUUAUAUUCAGGAAGCACCAAAAAAAAGGAAAAAAAGGUUAGCCCAACUGAAUAGAAUUUGUCUAACCCAAGCAUUGCAAAUGUGAUAAUUGCCCCAAAUGUGAAAUACCCCUCCACAGUCACAUAUACACAAACAAUGAACUAUAAAAGUGCUCAUUGAAAUUCUAAUUAAGAAGCACUUGAGCUGGUGGUAGAAAUACAAUGGCAUGAAAAUUAUGACUUACACAACAAAGAAACCUAUAAAUUCUACUCAACAAACAGAAAGGAAAACCAUCAACUAUGAUCGAGUCAAUAACAUACUGUCAUACUUUUGUUAGGAAAUUAGUUUGCCACUGCAUUAUUUUUCUCCCUCCUACAUGUAGAAAAGAAGUUUCUAUUAAUUAUAGAAGUGAAACCCCAUAUUUAGACCAAGAAAAAACAGACUUAAGCAUCUGUGGUUAGUCAAGCAUACCUAGCUGAAGGAAAGAAUGAUCUAUCUCUCAACUUCUAGAGUAGGAAUAACACAAUUCAAUAUAAAUUCAUAUUUCCAAUGAGGUCAUGUUGCUGAAUGUUGGAGAUGUAGGCAAUGCUGAUCCAAACUUUCUCCUUUCUUCUUUAAGCAAUUUUGUCUCACAACAAGAGAAUUCUGGAUUUCAAGCACUAGCUGUUGCAUUCAGCUCUUCCUUCAGCAAAAAUGACCAAAGCUUAGCACAGCUUGAGAUCAAUAGCACUUGAAGAAACUUUCAGCAAAAAUUAAGCUUACCUGAAGUUAGAGGAACAAGUAGAAUGAAUUUUUUAUCCGUAAAGGCUUGGUGCACCAGUGCCACUCAUAGAGAGGCGUCUCAAGCUUCCCACAAUUGAACCCAAACUAAACAAUGGGGCCAAACCCCCUUCCAGAAAUUAAAGAACACCUGAACAAUCAAGGAUCAACCUUGAUACUGGAUGUAAAAAUGGAAAAGAAAAAAUUAAUGAACAAAAGUAAAUUAUUUAAAAAUAAAUAAAAAAGAAAAAUGGAAAAAUGUCAAGUUGUGAUGAGUUUUGAAAUGCACUGUCUUUCUACAGGUGCAGAAAAAUUAGGGAGUUAAGAUUAUUAUUCUGAUGUUAAUGGAAUUAUGGGAGUAGCUUAAUAAUGGGCUGGUCUCUACUUCCAUUUUUGUGAUUGAAAAAUAAAAUCUAAUUUGAAAUUGAUUCAUGUGUUAAAAACCUAGCUAUUUCCUUUUACAUAGGAUCAGGGAUGUGAAAAUCUUAGGCCAAUCAUAUUUACAUGUUAAUUUAAAUAUUUGAGAAAUUAAGAAGCCAAUACCAUUCCUAUGGACUAAAACCAGCUUCAUCAAAUUGUUGGUAUAGAAAUAAGCAAAUGUGUUUGAAAGAUUGAAUGAAAAAACCAGGUCAAUUGGAACUAAACUAAGCAAGUGCAACUAGAAAUCUUCUGAAGAUCAAACUUAAGCCACAAUAAAAUUGUUGCAACCGAAUGAAUAAUUGAGAACAACGUACUAACAUGUGAAUUUCAUCUGUAUGAGAUCUUUUGGCGGAAGGGUGGCAUGCAAAAGGAAAUAUGAUUUAAUUAUGUAGAAAGAGAAAUACACUAGAAACAUUUUAGAGAACAAGGAAAUAAGAUAGAUGAGAAAAGAAGAUUCUCACAAUUUUAAAAUUUAGAUGGGAAAAUUUGAAUUGCUGAACAUACCUUGUUGAAAUUAAGGAAGGAAGAGUGAUCUAAGAUUCAAUCCAGUAAAGACAUCUCCUGGUUACAAAAUUGCAUUAAGAUAGAAAAAUGUAAAAUAAACAAAAACUCAAAAGUAAAAAUAAAAGAAUUUGGAACUAAGUUGCGAAUGGGCAUACUUCAAUUACCUAUACGUACGCUGCGGAUGUGGGCGACGUUAGACCAACAUUCUCCUCCAUCCUUUGAGAAUCUUUCUUUCAUGGUAGGACAACCAAAUAUGUCAAGUUUUGCAAGUGUUGCAGGCAGUAGCCCUAAGGACCGGAGGUUAGGGCAAUUUGAGAUAUCUAGGGAUCGAAGAGAGAUGAGUUUGUCGAGAUCCAAGGAUUCUAGGGAUUCUAGGGAUUCCAUUCCUUUGAUUGUAAGGGAGGUGAGAGAAAUGGGAAGAAGACACUCUUCAUCGGAGACGGAAACCAUAUUUGGAAAUAUGUUCCUAAUAGUCAAUUCAGAAAGAGAGGUGAGGGUGUCGAGGCCCCACUCAGAUAUGGGCGUUUUCAGAUUCUUACAGUUAUCGAUCUCAAGUGAUGUUAGGUUAGGGGCCAAACCCUCUUCCGGAAAGGACUCCAAUCCUGGGCAUUGGGAUAUGGUCAGGCUGCGCAGAGAUUUGAGGUUUCUCAUUUGAUGUGUUAGAGAUUUAAGAUUCUCACAUCCCUCAAUUUCAAGGAAUUCGAGGUUAGGGAUGGACAAGCCUCUUUCUGGAAAGCACUCCAGACCUCCACAAUCGUUUAUGUCGAGCUUCCGAAGGCUGUCAAGGCAUCCUUUUAGGCUUUUCAGAUUUGGAUACCCCUCAAGUCGUAAAUACUCUAGGGCUGUACUGUUGGGUGACAUUUUCUCUGACACUGACUCCAAGUUUGUGCAUCCAACAAUAAUAAGGCGCUUGAGAGUGGAGGGUAACUCCCCUGUUGGAAAGGAAUUGAGAGAGGAACAAUUCUCUAUCGUCAAUUCUUCAAGACAACAAGUGUUGCUGCUGGAGGUGGAAUUGUGGUGCAUCAGCCCCUCUGGUAGAGACUCAAGACUUUGACAAUCCCAAAUAUAAAGCUUCUUGAGUGUGGUGGGUAGCUCACCAUUUGGGAAGCAUUUGAGAAAUGGAGAACACUGAAUCGCCAAGACUUCAAGCGGACACGUGUUGUAGUUAUGAGGCAGCGAUUUUAGACCCCUACAAUAGAACAACUCAAGGCGUCUUAGCACUGGUGGGAAACCCGAAUCAGGAAAUGACUCUAGUUUGGGGCAACUCCGUAUCUCCAGCUCUUCAAGACGUGUGAGAGUUUGCAAUCCAUUCGACAGCUUCUCCAGAUUAGCACAAUCACGUAUUUCCAAUUUUUUAAGAUUGCAAGGCAGCCAUUGCUCCUCCCACAAACAUGUCAGCCCAUCACAAUCCUUUAUCACCAAUUCUUGCAAGGCUACCAAGGAUCUAGUAAAUCCGGUCCUCAAACAUGUCAAUCUUGAAAUCUGGAUGAGAUUUACAGUAACGAGGGAUGGAAGAUCAAAUUGAGCACCUCUCAACACUACCUCAUCACAUUCUGUGAAAUUUAAUUCACGGAGAGAUGCAAGUUUUGGAAGCCCACACAUCAAUCCCGGACAUUUUAACACUACAAGCUCUACUAGGGACUGCAGGCAUUUCGGCAAUUCCCCAAUCAGUUUUGGACAUUUCCUCAUAAAAAACUUUUCAAGAUGGGGAAAUGUUCCCACAUCUUCCUUGAUGAAAUUAGAAUGAGACCAAUUUUCCCAUUCUGGCAUAUCCUCAAACCUCAACACCUUCAAAGAUGCAAAAGGAUUCAUACUCUCUCCAUAAAAUUCAGCACCUAUGCUUUUAACUUGGCUCAUACCUUCGAUACACAAAACUUUGAGCACCGAUAGUCCACCCAGAUUUGGUAAUAACAUGCAUUUUUUGCAAUCUCUGAGAGUUAGUUCCACCAUUACUGAGAAUGAGGGAUCUCCUAACCAACUUGGAAAUUUGGAUCCACCAUAAAAUGCAAUUGUGAGCCUUCUUAAAUUUUCACGAGGCUGCAGGGACUCCAAGACACGUGAUUCACGUUUAUCGUUUCGUGCAUCCCAACAAUCAUCACUCCACUCCAUGGUCAACUCUUCAAUUUUUUUUUUAUCUUUUAAAUUAGCAGCUCUUGCCUCUCCAACAUCCACUACCUCUUGCAACCCAGAAAUAGAAAGCACUCCUUGGAGGUUCGAACAAUUCUUGAGUUCUUCAAUUCCAACCCCUCUACUUUUGCUCACAAUGAACCUAGUCAACACUUGCAAAUUUGUGAGGUUGCUUAAUUGGAAAGGCAUUUCUUCUAGUCGACUUGUACCCGUAAUAUCAAGGUGCCGAAGGUUUUUCAGGUUUCCAAUCCCUAUAGGCAAUUCGGUAAGUGCAUAACAACGACGUAAUAUCAACGUUUGUAAAUUAUAAAGAUGACCCACUGAAUUAGGUAGACUUCGUAUCCUAGAGUAGGAAAAAUUGAGAUAACGCAGAUGUAUUAACUCACCAAUCGAACUUGGUACUUCACCCAUGCCACAACCAACCAAAGAUAGUACCCGCAAGUAUCUCAUUGGCAUUAUUAGGUUAUGUAACACCUGGUUAGAUAUAUUUCCGAACAAAGUACGUGAAUAUUGAGGCACUGCUAUUAACGUGCGUAGAUUCUUCGCUUUGUCAAAGGCUUCCAAUUUUCCAACAACCUCAAAUUCUUGCCGAGUGAAACAUGAAUGACGAGCUCUUGUAGAAAUAGCAUGUUGGUCAUUGUUUCCAAAUUGAAACAUACGUCUCCAGCAACCAAUUGAGCAAGAUCAUGAAUAAGAUCAUGCAUCACAAAUUGUGAUGAAUGAUGAUUUGAUUGUUGGAAAAAAGACCUUGCUAAUAAUUCAUGAAAGUACGCGGUGCCUAUCUCCUCCAUCUGCUUCUUUCUGUUCACCUGGUGAAGGAAUCCCUCUCCCAUCCACAGCAAGACUAAUUCAUCCACAUUGAAUUCGGAGUCCUUUGGAAAUAUAGAGCAGUAAGCGAAGCAGCGCUUCAAAUGAGAAGAAAGAUGAUGAUAACUCAAUUUGAGAGCUGGAAGAAUACUGUUAUUCUCUUCUGGUAACUCCCAUAUCUUGCUUCCGAGUAUUUCCUCCCAUGCAUCACGAUUUAGUUGUGUGCGCAACAUUCCUCCUAAGGCCUUUGCAGCCAAAGGUAGCCCCCUGCACUUUUUCACAAUUCGUUCGCCGACAGCUCUCAAGUGUGGAUGAUUAUCAAAGUUUCUGGUAUGUAUAAAUGCAUGCUGGGCAAACAAAGAUAAGCAAUCGUCAUUUGAUAACCCCUCGAGGGGAUAAUCUGAGCUGGCUCUGACGGCUGGUCCAACCCUUUGAUCACGAGUGGUGACAAUAAUCCUGCUGCCUUUUGCUCCAGUUCUCAUUGGCUUGAAUAAAAGGUUCCAUUUAUUACAAUCCCAACUCCAAACGUCGUCUAAAACAAGAAGAAACUUUUUUCCAGAGAGUUUAUCAUUCAGUUUGACUUGAAGCUGGUUGAGAUCGUUGACAUCGUUGACAUCGGACAUAUCAGUAGCAACAGACUGAAGAAUUGUCCUGGUUACCCCCACGACAUCAAACUCAUCAGAGACACAAACCCAAGCUCUUAGAUCAAAAUGACUCUUCACUUUAUAAUGGUUGUAGGCAAACUGAGCAAGAGUAGUUUUGCCCACGCCUGCCAUGCCAGUUAUGGCAAUGACACGGACUGAAUCGUCACUUGGCCCAUGAUAAUGGAGCAAGGAGUCGACUAUGGCUGCUUUCUCUGUUUCCCUUCCAUAAACAAUAGGUUCAUCCACCAAAGAAGUGGUGGGUAGUAUUUCUCUUGGUUUGGCGGACCUUUUCCCAGAAUUUUUUUCUGUUGAAAGGAGAUUAUUUUUCCGUGAAGAAAUAUGUUCCAACCUGGCAGUGAUAUUCUCUAUCUUGGACCUCAUCUCAUCAUUGAACUUAAUAGCACUUGGAGUGAAACUAGUACGACAAGAAGGGAUAAGACUCUUACUAGUGCUGGGUUGAGUUUCCGCCAUCAACUGCUGCCCCAAAGCUUGAGUGGCCAAGUCGUCCAGGAUGUCCUCCACAUCAUAAGCCAAGUCUCUGAGGUCGUCGAGCCAUUUCUUCACCGCUUGCUUUUCCAUCUGCUUCUCCUCCGCAUCCUCCAGCACGGCAUGAAUUUCCUUUAGGGUGUUCUCCCACUUGUUGAGCUCAGCACGAACUUGCACUGGGCGAGCAAAAUCGAGCAGGUCAGAGGACAACAACCUCUGAAACAGAGUUUCAAAGAAAGAAGACAGAAGAGCCUCUCCAACAAAAGCCAUGGAAGCAAGUACGAGAAAUCAAAGGCAGAGAAACGACUCAGAAUCAGAACAGCACAAGUAGAAAGCCAGACAAGGUUGGUUAUAGAGCAAUUAUAGAUUAAAAUGUCAUUCCUGUUUGACCACACCCAUAUUCAUUACUUUGUACGGUUGAGAUCCUCCAAUCAAAUUGUGAUUAUAAUUACAUACAUGAUGUUAGCACACUGUAUUAAGAUACCCUUUUAUUAAUCUAAUGAUUCGUAACAACUCCUGCAAUUGCUCUUUUAUUAAUACUCAUCACAUUAAUUAAAAAUUCAUCUAAAAUGUAAGGAAUCUCCAACAAAUUUCUUGAUGUGUGUGUGCAUAUUUUUAUAUUACAAGUGGGUUUCCUACUCUAUAUUUUAUUAUUAAUCUUAACAGUUGCCCUUUGUCCCCAUCUAAUUUGGAUCAAUAAUAUUGUCGGCCAACAUCAGUUUGUAAACACAAAAAACAUACGAAUUAAUCUUAGCCGCUGCCCUUUGUGUAGGGAAUUAAACCAAAUUCCCAACCCGUGAGAAACAAAAAUUAGAGAAAACACACGCCAAAGAAAAACAAUCACACGCACAAGACAGUAUUUACGUGGUUCGGCAAUUUGCCUACGUCCACGGAGUUGCAGGGAUAUCACUAUUAUCAGGGAAGAAUACAGAGUACGACCUAGCGGCUACAAUAUUCUCUAUAUAUAUAUAUAGCACGGCAACCCUACCAUACUAAAAAACCCUAAUUACAAAAGGUGGUUCCACAAUGGGUUAAACGGGCCCAACAGGCCUCAAUAAAUCUCCCAUUAAAAAGUCAUGCAAUAUUAUUCGGGUCGGGUCGUCAAAUCUGAUCAAACAAAACUAGGCUCCACAAAGCCCAACAAAUCUCCCACUUGGAGACUAGUCCAAUCACCAACAUCAAACCGCUAUCCUCCAAGAAACAAUCCCUCAUCCCUACAACUCAUCCUCCUGUCCUCAAGCUAGAAGACCAAUUGAAGCUGUACACAGCUUCAACUUCUCAAUAGUGACACCCUUAGUCAACAUGUCUGCCGGGUUCUUAGAUCCACAAAUCUUCUCAAGUAUUACUAGUUUAUCUUCAACAAGAUAACGGAUAAAGUGGUAUUUUGUUUGUAUAUGCUUCGACUUUGAAUGAAAAGCCGAAUUUUUGGCAAGAAAAAUUGCACUCUGGCUGUCACUGUGUAGAAUGCCCAUCUCCUGCUUCUUACCCAAUUCAUCUAAGAAACCAUGUAGCCAAAUCAUCUCCUUUCCAGCUUCAGUUGCUGCAACAUACUCAGCUUCUGUAGUAGACAGAGUAACAAUCUUCUGUAGAUUUGAAGUCCAUGAUAUAACUGUACCACCUAGAGUAAAAACAAACCCAGUAGUACUCUUUCUACUAUCAAUAUCACCAGCAAAAUCAGCAUCUACAUAACCCUGCAGUUUCAAACUUGCACCUGUGAAGCAAAGACAUGUAUCUAAUGAACCCUUCAGAUAUCUUAAAAUCCACUUGACUGCCUCCCAAUGCUGCUUUCCAGGCCUACUCAUGAAUCUGCUCACAACUCCCACUGCAUGUGCAAUGUCUGGCCUUGUACACACCAUAGCAUACAUCAAGCUGCCAAUAGCUGAGGCAUAGGGCACCUUGCUCAUAUGGUCCCUUUCUUCUUCUGUCUUCGGUGACUGUUCUUUGCUUAGUUUGAAAUGACUACCCAAGGGUGUGCUCACUGGUUUAGCUUCAUUCAUGUUGAACCUGCUGAGAACUUUCUUCACAUACUCUGACUGUGAAAGUUUCAAUGUACCAUUAGCCUUGUCUCUAAUGAUUCUCAUACCAAGGAUUUGCUUUGCAGCUCCCAAAUCCUUCAUUGCAAACUGUUUGGACAAUUGCUUCUUCAGAUUAUUAAUCUUCUCAAUGUCAGACCCUGCAAUAAGCAUAUCAUCCACAUACAACAGUAAUAUGAUGUAAGAAUUGUCAAAGGACUUAACAUAGCAACAAUGAUCAGCUUCACAUCUCUUGAACCCAAUUCUAUGCAUAAAAUUGUCAAACUUCUUGUACCACUGUCUAGGAGCUUGUUUAAGGCCAUACAAGCUCUUUCUCAGUUUGCAGACUAGAUUCUCUUGUCCCUGAACAAUGAACCCUUCUGGCUGAAUCAUGUAAAGGUCUUCCUCCAAGUCACCAUGAAGGAAUGCUGUCUUCACAUCUAACUGCUCAAGAUGUAAGUUUUCUACAGCCACCAUUCCAAGUACAAGUCUAAUUGUUGACAUCUUCACAACUGGAGAAAAUAUCUCUGUGUAGUCAAUGCCCUCCUUCUGUUGGAACCCUUUAACCACUAAUCUGGCCUUGUAACGUUUGCUACCAUCAUGCUCAUUCUUUAUUCUGUAUACCCACUUGUUGUGCAAAGCCUUCUUUCCUACUGGCAAUUCAGUCAGUUCCCAUGUCUGAUUCCCCAGCAGGGAAUCCAUCUCAUCCUUCAUGGCUAACUCCCACUUGCUUGAAUUCUCAUCUUGCAAGGCUUCAUUAUAACACUCUGGCUCACCACCAUCAGUCAACAGGAGAUAAUUUAAAACAGGUGAAUAACGUUGUGGAGGUCUAAUGUUCCUGGAAGAUCUGCGAACUUCAACUACAGGUGUCCUCAAAUCUACCUUUGAAUUUACAUUCUCCUUAUCUUCUUCACCCCCUUUUUGGACAGUACUUUCAGUCAAUUCAUCUAAGUUGACAAACUCAGAUUUCUUUUGAUCUAUCUCUGUAACAUUUGACGUUACAGUUAACCUGUCCUUGUACAUAACCUGUUCAUUAAAUAUCACAUUUCUACUUCUGAUAAUUUUCCUGUUUUGUUCAUCCCAAAACCUAUAGCCAAAUUUCUCAUCACCAUAGCCAAUGAAAAAACAUAUUUUUGACUUUGCAUCAAGUUUACUACGAGCAUCAGAAUCAAUAUGAACAUAAGAAACACAACCAAAAACUUUUAAAUGUGAAAACUUCACCUCUUUACCGCUCCAAACCUCCUCAGGAAGUCUGAACUCCAUGGGAACUGAUGGUCCUCGGUUUAUCAGGUAAGCAGCAGUGCUAACAGCAUCAGCCCAAAAAGUUUUUGGUAGUCCAGCAUGCAACCUCAUACUUCUAGCACGCUCAUUGAGAGUUCUGUUCAUGCGCUCAGCCACACCAUUCUGCUGUGGUGUCCCAGGAAUGGUCUUCUCCAUCCUAAUUCCCUGUGCAGCACAAUACUCACUGAAUCCUCCAUCUAUGUACUCUCCUCCAUUAUCUGACCUCAAACAUUUUACUUUCAAACCUGUUUCUGUCUCAACCAUGGCCUUCCACUUCUUAAAAGUUACAAAUACAUCAGAUUUAUUUUUCAGAAAAUAAACCCAUACCUUUCUACUUGAGUCAUCAAUAAAGGUGAUGUAGUACCUUGAACCUCCUAGGGAUGCAACCGGAGAAGACCCCCACAAAUCGGUGUGUACUAGUUCCAAUUUUUCAGCCUUCGGUGUCCUGCCAGUUUUCAAGAAGCUCACCUUUUUUUGUUUUCCUAAGAUGCAACUUUCACACAUGUCAAAAUCAAUGGACUUCAAUUCUGGUAGUUUUCCUUUUGACAGCAACAUCUUCAUCCUUUUCUCNNNNNNNNNNNNNNNNNNNNNNNNNNNNNNNNNNNNNNNNNNNNNNNNNNNNNNNNNNNNNNNNNNNNNNNNNNNNNNNNNNNNNNNNNNNNNNNNNNNNNNNNNNNNNNNNNNNNNNNNNNNNNNNNNNNNNNNNNNNNNNNNNNNNNNNNNNNNNNNNNNNNNNNNNNNNNNNNNNNNNNNNNNNNNNNNNNNNNNNNNNNNNNNNNNNNNNNNNNNNNNNNNNNNNNNNNNNNNNNNNNNNNNNNNNNNNNNNNNNNNNNNNNNNNNNNNNNNNNNNNNNNNNNNNNNNNNNNNNNNNNNNNNNNNNNNNNNNNNNNNNNNNNNNNNNNNNNNNNNNNNNNNNNNNNNNNNNNNNNNNNNNNNNNNNNNNNNNNNNNNNNNNNNNNNNNNNNNNNNNNNNNNNNNNNNNNNNNNNNNNNNNNNNGCCCAUUCCUCAGCCUUCAUACUCUCAGGUUUUGUCCCCAAAAGAGGCAGAUGCAAUUUCCUCCCAUAGAGAUAAUCUUCAAUCUGCAUCCUCUAAUACGCAAAGUCUGUGCCAUCAAACUUUUCUAUUCCAGACGCCUUUCCUGCUUCCUCUGCCAUUGCUCCCACUCAAACCUAACCCUAGGCUCUGAUACCAGUUGUAGGGAAUUAAACCAAAUUCCCAACCCGUGAGAAACAAAAAUUAGAGAAAACACACGCCAAAGAAAAACAAUCACACGCACAAGACAGUAUUUACGUGGUUCGGCAAUUUGCCUACGUCCACGGAGUUGCAGGGAUAUCACUAUUAUCAGGGAAGAAUACAGAGUACGACCUAGCGGCUACAAUAUUCUCUAUAUAUAUAUAUAGCACGGCAACCCUACCAUACUAAAAAACCCUAAUUACAAAAGGUGGUUCCACAAUGGGUUAAACGGGCCCAACAGGCCUCAAUAAAUCUCCCAUUAAAAAGUCAUGCAAUAUUAUUCGGGUCGGGUCGUCAAAUCUGAUCAAACAAAACUAGGCUCCACAAAGCCCAACACUUUGUCCCCAUCUAAUUUGGAUCAAGAAUAUUGUCGGCCAAUAUCAGUUUUUAAACACCAAAAAAAUAGGAAUUAAUCUUAGCAGCUGCCCUUUGUCCCCAUCUAAUUUGGAUCAAGAAUAUUGUCGGCCAACAUCAGUUUUUAAACACCAAAAAAAUAGGAAUUAAUCUUAGCAGCUGCCCUUUGUCCCCAUCUAAUUUGGAUCAAGAAUAUUGUCGGCCAACAUCAGUUUGUAAACACAAAAAACAUACGAAUUAAUCUUAGCAGCUGCCCUUUGUCCCCAUCUAAUUUGGAUCAAUAAUAUUGUCGGCCAACAUCAGUUUUUAAACACCAAAAACAUACGAAUUAACUUAGGCCUGUUUUAUAACUAUUUUCAAAAAUAUUUUUUUCAUUUUUUAAAAAACCAAAACAAAAAAACACAAACUAUCUGUUUUAUAUUCUUAAAAAUAGAAAAACGGAUUGUUUUCUAUUGUUUUUAUUUGCUUUUUGAGGAUUCUUUUUAAAAAAUAAUUCUACAAAUAUGCGUAAUAAUUAAAAAUAAAACAUUAAAUAUAAAAAUUAUUUUUAAAAUAUACUUAAAAAUAUUAAAAAUAUGAUGAAAAUAUUUUAUAUUUUUAAACAUAUUUUUAUUUUAUAAAACAUAAAAAACAAUUUUUAAAAACUAUUCUAAAAAACGAUUUUCUACGUUAUCAAAUAAAAUCUUAAUGCCUCUUUCCAACUUAGAAAAGAUUUGAAACUCAUUUUAAUUUUAAAUUUAUUAAUUUUUACUUAAUUAAACUAACUUGUUAACUCCUAGGAAAAACAAAUUUUAAUUUUGAUUUUGAAUCUCACGUUGAUUUUGAUUAGUUUUAUGGGGUUCACCAAUUUGUGGGAACGUGAGGCAUUUAAUAAAAUACUCUCCAACUUGUUGGUAUCAGCAUGGAGUUGUUGGGAAUGGUGAGGGCCACACAGGGUGUAAAAGAAGAAUUUGCGUGUAAAAGAUGAAUUUGCAUUAUUGGUAGUGGAUGCACAUGCGGGGUUUAAAUAAGAGAAAAGAAACCAAAAUGGUUUUUGUAAUACAAAUUGUACAAAUAUCCAUGUUAUUAUUUAAUAACACUGCUUGAAAUUAGUCAGACGUCAUCAAACAUGUAGGCUAUGUUUGAGAGAAAAACAUGAGGGGGAAAAAUACGUAGAAAAAUAAAAAAUAGAUUAAAAGAUAAUAAAUUAUUUUUAUAUGUUUUUUUAAACUAGUUUAACUUAUUUUUGUUAAUUGGUGUGACAUAUGUAAUGAAAAAAAAUUAUGAGAUUUUUCAGGAUUAUGAUGUUUUAUGCAUAUGCCGUAGCCACUCUCUCAUCUUGUUCCAAUUUUCAACAUAGUGGAUUUCUUUCUCUAGUCAUAGUUUUUCCCAUCUAAGGUUUUCUACAUAAAUUUGUGUGUUUUUAUUCUAUUUUUUUUUUCAUAUUGUCUAUUUUGGUUUUUUUUGUGGUAGAAUUAAUAUUAGAUAAUUUCAAAUUACAUAAAUUUCUAACCAAUUUUAAUUAUAUACAUAUAUAUAUUCAUAUUUUUCGUAGUGAAACUAAACAUAAAAAAAUUAUUUUUUUAAAUAUUUUUUUUUCUUAAUACUUUUUGAGAACCAAACAUAAUCGUAAUAUUAUUUAAGUGCUUUUUUAAUACACUCAUUAUAUAUUGAUUUGUGAAAAUUGAAUUUCACACCUCAUCAAUCACUCCCAUUUUUCUUAAAUUUAUUACAUAAAAUAAAAAAAACCCAAAAUAUAUAAUCUAUCCCAUUUAGGUAGUAAAAUGUUCCCAUUGAUGCUUGGACACUUGAAAAUGGUUUGCUACACCUUUUUUAAAUUAAUCAUUAUAAGUGAUUUUGUUUACGUAUUUUAAUUACAAAACUUGUUUGAACUACAAUAUUGUACAAAGUAAAUGUGGAAAAAAAAGCCUUAAAAAAUAUAUUUAGUGACUUCACCAAAAGAAAAAGAAAAAAAUGUUUUUAAAAAAAAGAUGUUUUCAUGUUUUGUUUUAUUAUAUAAAAUAUAAAAGAAAAUCAAACAAAAUUAAAAUUAGUCAAAAAUUCAUAUAUUUUUAAAUUAUUUGAUAUUUAUAUAUGAGAGUUAAAACAAGUUAAAUGAAUUGAAGUAUGUUUUUUAUUUUUCUUUUCUUAUAGUUUUCCUUUCUAUUUUUUCUUCCAUUCUUCUUCAAAUUUUCUGAAGCCAAACAUAACCUAAAAGUUUGUAUAACACCAGGAGCUAACAUAAGAGGUGGAAUUGACCAAUUCAAAAUUAUUUUGGCAUGAUUAAUAGAACUCUUGUCCAUUUGGGGAAGUUUCUUCCUCUAUAGAAUUCGCCUAUAAACUUUGUCAGAUUUCUACGAGCUCAUAGCAAUUCAAGCACAUUCAUAUCAUUCCCUUCAUUUUGCAAAUAAUCAAAAUCACUUUUUCAUUCCACCAUUAACUCUUCAAUGUUCUCCUUUCUCUUUAAAUUAAUAUCCAUCGUAUCUCUAAUAUUUUCUAUAACUUCGAAAAAAAUAGGUAUCCUCAAAGCAACUAUGAGCUUUUUCAGAUUUCUACCUAUGAGGUCGUAGUAACUCAAGCACAUUCAUAUCGCUCCCUUCAUUUUGCGAAUCAUCAAAAUCACUUUGUCAAUUCAUCAUUAACUCUUCAAUGUUCUCCUUUCUCUUUAAAUUAGUAUCCAUUAAUAAGAUCUCCUCCACAUUAUUAAAAUAUCUAGGCUCCAUUUCCUGCAUGAUACUCUAAGGAGGCUAGGGACUCCAUCAUCCGGAUUCCAAGAGAGGUGAGAGAUGUAAGAAGAAGACACUCAUCAUUUGAAAGGAAACCAUUUCUGAGAGUACUUCUCAAAUACACAAUGACAAAAUAAGCUUUGGACUUAUGUGUUAAUAAAAAAGUAUUUUAUUUCAUUUUUUUAUACAUCAUUUUCAAUAGAAAAUAAUUCUCAUUUUCAUAAUCAAACAGGCUCUAGACUUUCUAACUUUUUUUCUCACUAGCCUAAGUAACUUAAGCAACACUGAAAAGACAACUAUAUUUUGGGUUAAGCUUCCAAUUGUGUUGAUUUUUGGAGUUGAAGUUCUAGCUGCACCUAGACAUGUACGUUUAUGGUUUCAUUUUAAGUUGUGUCAUUAGCCCCUCAUCCUCUAAGACAAAAAAAGUUUAUGACACAAGAAAUGGACAUUUGUGAAAGUAAUGAAAUUAAAGGUCCACCAAGAUUUAUGUGGAAAACCCUCCGAUAAUGAGAGAAAAACCACGGGCCAGUCUAGAAAUAAUCCACUAUGGUAAAAAGGAUAUUACAAUAUUCUCACAAUUUCUUUUUAAAAAGAAAGGAAAAAAAAAAAAACUCAGGUAUUACAACUUUUAAAAAAAUAAAAAUGUUUGAGUCACUAUACUAGAGAACCAAAUCCUGCAAAAACAUCUGUUGCUAAUGUCUAAGGAGAAAACAAGCUUCACAUUUCUUACAUUCUACACUAAGCACCAAUAUGAGAGACGGUUGAUUUUGCUUGAGCCACUACAAAUGUAAAAGCACAACAUUGACAUCGUUAAGUUGAGUUCUUCUUGGAGAGCCAUAAGUGUGAAAAUUCCUUUCAUUUUUAUGCCAUCAACUAGCAGAAAAGUCAUUAUAUGGCAAAUCCAUCAAGCUUCCACCACCUACCACCUUAUAUUCAGGAAGCACCAAAAAAAAAAGGAAAAAAUGGUUAGCCCAACUUAAUAGAAUUUGUCUAACCCAAGCAUUGCAAAUGUGAUAAUUGCCCCUAAUGUGAAAUACCCCUCAAUACUUACAUAUAUACAAACAAUGAACCAUAAAAGUGCUCAUUGAAAUUCUAAUUAAGAAGCACUUGAGCUAGUGGUAGAAAUACAAUGGCAUGAAAAUUAUGACUUACACAACAAAGAAACCUAUGAAUUCUACUCAACCAACAAAAGGGAAAACCAUCAACUAUGAUUGAGUCAAUAACAUACCGUCAUACUUUUUUUAGGAACUUAGUCUGCCACUGCAUUAUUUUUCUCCCUCCUACAUGUAGAAAAGAAGUUUCUAUUAAUUAUGGAAGUGAAACCCCAUAUUUAGACCAAGAAAAAACAGACUUUAGCAUCUGUGGUUAGUCAAGCAUACUUGGCUGAAGGAAAGAAUGAUCUAUCUCUCAACUUCUAGAGUAGGAAUAACACAAUUCAAUAUAAAUUCAUAUUUCCAAUGAGGUCAUGUUGCUGAAUGUUGGAGAUGUAGGCAAUGCUGAUCCAAGCUUUCUCCUUUCUCCUUUAAGCAAUUUUGUCUCACAACAGGAGAAUUCUGGAUUUCAAGCACUAACUGUUGCAUUCAGCUCUUCCUUCAGCAAAAAGGACUAAAGCUUAGGACAACUUGAGAUCAAUAGCACUUGAAGAAACUUUCAGCAAAAAUUAAGGUUACCUGAAGUUAGAGGAACAAGUAGAAUGAAUUUUUUAUCUGUAAAAGCCUCGUGCACCAGUGCCACUCAUAGAGAGGCGUCUCAAGCUUCCCACAAUUGAACCCAAACUAAACAAUGGGGCCAAAACCCCUUCCAGAAAUUAAAGAACACCUGAACAAUCAAGGAUCAACCUUGAUACUGGAUGUAAAAAUGGAAAAGAAAAAAAUUAAUGAACAAGAGUAAAAUAUUUAAAAAUAAAUAAAAAAAGAAAAAUGGAAAAAUGUCGAGUUGUGAUAAGUUUUGAAAUGCAUUGUGUCUUUCUACAUGUGCAGAAAAAUUAGGGAGUUAAGAUUAUUAUUCUGAUGUUAAUGGAAUUAUGGGAGUAGCUUAAUAAUGGGCUGGUCUCUGCUUCCAUUUUUGUGAUUGAAAAAUAAAAUCCAAUUUGAAAUGGAUUCAUGUGUUAAAAACCUAACUAUUUCCCUCUACAUAGGGAUGUGAAAAUCUUAGGCCAAUCAUAUUUACAUGUUAAUUUAAAUAUUUGAGAAAUUAAGAAGCCAAUACCAUUCCUAUGGACUAAAACCAACUUCAUCAAAUUGUUGGAAUAGAAAUAAGCAAAUGUGUUUGAAAGAUUGAAUGAAAAAAUCAGGUCAGUUGGAACUAAACUAAGCAAGUGCAACUAGAAAUCUUCUUAAGAUCAAACUUAAGCCACAAUAAAAUUGUUGCAACUGAAUGAAUAAUUGAGAACAACAUACUAGCAUGUGAAUUUCAUCUGUAUGAGAUUUUUUGGCGUAAGGGUGGCAUGCAAAAGGAAAUAUGAUUUAAUUAUAUAGAAAGAAAAAUACGCUAGAAACAUUUUAGAGAACAAGGAAAUAAGAUAGAUGAGAAAAGAAAAUUCUCACAAUUUUAAAAUUUAGAUGAGAAAAUUUGAAUUGCUGAACAUACCUAGUUGAAAUUAAGGAAGGGAAAGUGAUCUAUGAUUCAAUCCAGCAUCCGAUAUCGACAGUUACCUCCUGGUUACAAAAUUGCAUUAAGAUAGAAAAAUGUAAAAUAAACAAAAACUCAAAAGUAAAAAUAAAAGAAUUUGGAACUAAGUUGCGAAUGGGCAUACUUCAACUACCUCUAGAUAUGCGGGGGAUGUGGGCGACGUUGGACCAAUAUUCUCCUCCCUCCUUUAAGUACCUUUCUUCUAUGGUAGGACAAUAGUUGAUGACAAGUUUUGUAAGUGUUGCAGGAAGCGGCCCUAAGGACCGGAGGUUAGGGCAAUAUGAGAUUCCUAGGGAUCGAAGAGAGAUGAGUUUGUGGAGAUCCAAGGAGGCUAGGGAUCCCAUUCGUCUGAUUCGUAGGCUGAUGAGAGAAAUGGGAAGAAGACACUCUUCAUCGGGGAAGGAAACCAUAUUUGGAAACAUGUUCCAAAUAGUCAAUUGAGAAAGAGAGGUGAGGGUGUUGAAGCCCCACUCAGAUAUGGGUGUUUUCAGAUUCAUACAGUCACCGAUCAAAAGUGAUUUUAGGUUAGAGGCCAAACCCUCUUCCGGAAAGGACUCCAAUCCUGGGCAUUCGGAUAUGGUCAGGCUGCGCAGAGAUUUGAGGUUUCUCAUCUGAUGUGUUAGAGAUUUAAGAUUCUCACAUCUGUCAAUUUGAAGGUAUUCGAGGUUAGGGAUGGACAAGCCUCUUUCUGGAAAGCACUCCAGACCUCCAUAAUCGUUUAUGCUUAGCUCCCGAAGGCUGUCAAGGAAUCCUUGUAGACUUUUCAGAUUUGGAUACUUCUCAAGUCGUAAAUGCACUAGUGCUGUACUGUUGGGUGACAUUUUCUCUGACACUGACUCCAAGUUUGUGCAUCCCGAAAUGGAAAGGUUCUUGAGAGUGGAAGGCAACUCCCCUGUUGGAAAGGAAUUGAGAAAGGAAAAAUUCUCUAUCCACAAAUAUUCAAGACAACAAGUGUUGCUGCUGGAGGUGGAAUUGUGGUGCAUCACCCCCUCUGGUAGUGACUCUAGACUUUGACAAUCCCCAAUAUGAAGCUUCUUGAGUGUGGUGGGUAGCUCACCAUUUGGGAAGCAUUUGAGAAAUGGAGAAUACCGAAUCGACAAGUCUUCAAGCGGACACGAGUUGUAGUUAUGAGGCAGCGAUUUUAGACCCCCACAAUAGAACAACUCAAGGCGUCUUAGCAUUGGUGGGAAACCCGAAUCAGGAAAUGACUCUAGUUUGGGGCAUCUCCAUAUCAUCAGCUCUUCAAGACGUGUGAGGGUUUGCAAUCCAUUCGACAGCUUUUCCAGAUUAGCACACCCUUCUAUUCUCAAUUUUUUAAGAUUGCAAGGCAGCCAUUGCUCCUCCCACAAACAUGUCAGCCCAUCACAAUUGCAUAUCUUCAAUUCUUGCAAGGCUACCAAGGAUCUAGUAAUUCCGGUCCUCAAACAUGUCAAUCUUGAAAUCUCGAUGAGAUUUACAGUAACGAGGGAUGGAAGAUCAAACUGAGCACCUCCCAAUACUGCCUCAUCACAUUCUUUUAAAUUUAAUUCACGGAGAGAGAGAUGCAAGUUUUGGAAGCCCACACAUCAAUCCCGGACAUUCUGACACUUCAAGCUCUACUAGGGACUGCAGGCAUUUCGGUAAUUCCCCAAUCAGUUUUGGACAUUCCCUUAUCAAAAACUUUUCAAGAUGGGGAAAUGUUCCCACAUCUUCCUUGAUGAAAUUAGAAUGAGACCAAUUUUCCCAUUCUGGCAUAUCCUCAAACCUCAACUCCUUCAAAGAUGCAAAAGGAUUCAUACUCUCUCCAUAAAAUUCAGCACCUAUGCUUUUAACUUGGCUCAUACCUUCAAUACACAAAACCUUGAGCACCGAUAGUCCACCCAGAUUUGGUAAUAACACGGAUUUUUUGCAAUUUUUGAGAGUUAGUUCCACCAUUACUGAGAAUGAGGGAUAUCCUAACCAACUUGGAAAUUUGGAUCCACCAUAAAAUGCAAUUGUGAGCCUUCUUAAAUUUUCACGAGGCUGCAGGGACUCCAAGACACGUAAUUCACGUUUAUCGUUUCGUGCAUCCCAACAACAAUAACGACUCCACUCCAUGGUCAACAAGACACGCAAUUUUUACUUAAGAAAACUAACUUGUUAAGUCUUAGGAAAAUCAAAUUUUAAUUUUGAUUUUGAACCUCACGUUGAUUUUGAUUAGUUUUAUGGGGCUCACCAAUUUGUGGGAAUGUGAGGCAUUUAAUAAAAUACUCUCCAACUUGUUGGUAUCAGCAUGGAGUUGUUGGGAGUGGUGAGGGCCCAGACAGGGUGUAAAAGAUGAAUUUGCGUGUAAAAGAUGAAUUUGCAUUGUUGUUAGUGGACGUAUAUGUGGUGUUUAAAAUAAGAGAAAAGAAACGAAAAUGGUUUUUGUAAUACAAAUUGUACACUAGAAUAUCCAUGUUAUUAUUUAAUAACAUUGCUUGAAAUUUUUCAUAAGUCAUCAUAUAGUGGAUUUCCUUCUCCUCUCUGCUCAUGAUUUUUUCUAUUUAAGGUUUUUCACAUAAAUUUAUAUCUUUUUAUUCUAUUUUUUUUUCAUAUUGCCUAUUUUUGUUUUUCCAUGGUAGUAUUAAUAUUAAAUAAUUUCAAACUAUAUAAAUUUCAAACUAAUUUUAAUUAUAUUUUAUUUUCUUUCAUAUUUUUCAUAGUAAAACUAAACAUAAGAAAACUAUUUUUCUUAGUAUUUUUUCCUUAAUACUUUCUAGGAACCAAACAUAAUAAUAACCUUAUUUAAGUGCUUUUCUAUUUCACAACUAAUUGACACUGACUUUUGGGUGUAAAUGUCGUCUAGUCCAUCGCUCAAGCAUCAGGUGUGAUUAAUCAUUUGUUCAAUGCCCGAAAACUUCGAUUGGGUUGAUUUGUUUGUCUAAAAGUCCUAGUCAGCUUGGUCUGUUCAUUCCAUCUGGCAUUGUAGAAGAAGGAAAUCUUCUCACCUCUUACACCAGACGGAGCUUAUCUUGGCCCAAAUAAAGUGAUCCUAGACAGAUUAUCUACUUACCUUGGCCGACCAAAGGGUCUUAAGUUUGGGGAGGCCACGUGGAGGCAAGCGCUCCCUACAAUGCCCUCUAAUUUGUUUGCUAUGCUCGAUCGGGUAGCUGACUGGUUGAGGUAGGACGAAUUAUCUGUUUUUUCAAGUUUUUGGGCACCAAGGAAUGCGUGUCAUUUAGGGUUUUAAUAAUGUGUCACAUCAAUCAAGGCUAGUUGUUCAACGGUGUGUCUCUUUAUUUGGCUUUGGAAAGCAUUGCCAGGCGACAUGUCCCUUGGAGUGCCUAGGUUUUUUGUUCCCUAUAAAUAGUAAAGCUCCACACUUUUGGGUCACCUUUUCACUUUCUCCCGUUUCAGAGUUCUCUUGCCUGUGCUGCUCUUUCCCUGCCAUUGGUCUUGCCACCAGCUAUUCUUUUUUGCUUUCAUCACCGUUGUCAACUGGUUUGCCACCGUAGGAACUCUUAUUCGCUAGAGAGCGUCUUCAGUUUUGGUUUUGGUAAGUUUUCUACCGUCUGUUCGUUCCUUUGUUGUGUUUGCAAUUGUUCCUUGGGUUGUAUUAUUCUUGUUUGUUUAGAGAGAAAAUGGACAUACCGAUGUCCAGAUUCUAGAUUUUUCUUUUUGUGUUUUCUUGAUCGUUCUUGUUGCUUAUUUGGGGGAGGAAACAGGUGUACCGAUAUCCAAAUCUAAGGUUUUUCAGUGUCCCCGCUUGCUUCUAUGUCGUCAUUGUGUUUAUGUCAUCGGUUCAUGCUUUUUUGUUGUCAUCACGUUGGGGCGAUGGGCAUGACUCUUCCUUUAUCAUUGGCCAAGAGACUUGCUUUGCAAGUUUCGAUAGCCAAAUUCGUCUAGGUUCGGACUAUGGUCUGUCUAGGCACAUUUUUGUAUUGUUGAAGCAACGCUGAAAGGCGGAUUGGCCAACGCAGGUUUCUAUAUGACCCAAAUCCACUUAGUCUAAUGGAAUAAGGGGAAGUUGUUUCUACCAGCGGAAGGCCUCAACAAAGUGGACAGAAAAAUACUAGAGUCGGGCACCUUAGACCGAACCGUCCAGUUGCUGUCUUAUCCAAGCAAAAAUUUCAAGCUCGUUUUCACAUUAUGGACACUAUCUUAAUUCAGUUAACUAAUGGUGAGGCUCUAUUCUCUGCUAACCUUCCGAACUACAUGAUGUAUUUCACCAAGGAGUGGUUUGCUAAUGGGCUUUGUUUACCCAUUCCUUCCUUCUUCAAACAAUACCUUCAUUUCACGCAAAUCCUCCCAACUUUUCUUCAUCCGAAUAUUGUCCGAUUAUUGAUAGGGUGUAGCGUGUUGGAUAUGCUCUUCCAAUUGGAUCUUUCCCUAUUGGAAGUCUCGUUCAUCUAUACUCUGAAAAUGAGCCAAAAUGAAAGGUUCAGCUUAUCCGCCCAUAUUUCUUCCCUCCAACUAGUGAUUGGUAUUCCAAAUUCAUGUAAAGGCUAGGUCAAGGAGCAUGUUUUGGUGUCUGAGCCUUAGAGUGGUUCAUAUGAUGGUCCAGACAGAGUUUUUUCUCCACAACGUUCGUUGAAGAUUCCGAGUAAGCUAUGCUUUUGUCACUUUCUUUAUACCUUGCUAUUAUUUCCUCUUUUUUGUGAAUCUACUCACGAUCUUUCUGUUCGUCUAAUGCAGGUAAGGAGAGGCAGGAACACAUUGUAAAGUGGGUGGAAAAGGCUUCAUUUGCCCAUCUAAACAAGUUGUUCGAAAUAGACGUUGUUGAAUGGGCUUACAAAGUUCUCGUCUUGGACAAAAACCUUUUGGCACUGAUUGGCAGUCCUAAGUCGUUUAUCAUUCUUAUGUUUCCCUGGCUAACCCCUUCGUCUCUGGUGCUUGGUGAACACUUCGUGCUAAAGGAUUUGCCUUUCUACGAAGUUGCUCGUUUGGCAGAUUCUGAGGCACGCUAGGCUCGUUAAGAGGAACGGGAGAAAAAACGCCAAGAAGGGACAUUGAGGCAAGUGCCAGUUGCUAGACGUUCGUUUUCCAACUCCGUUGUCCGUCCACCUGCUUAGAAAAAGAAAAAGACUAUGGCUCGUCCUAUUCAAAAGGCGAGGACUCCACCUCCUGUCUCCCCAUAUUCAUCGUCAGCUUCAUCUUCUUCUUCCUCUAUGUCUUCUUCAUCUUCUAGAAACAAACCAGAAGCAGGGGUUAUGCAACCUAUGCCUCCUAUUAUUUGUGAAGAAGAGGAAGAGAAGGAGGACAUGGCUUCCAACUUGAGGACCAGAUUCCACAAGAGGCACCGUAAGCGUCUGUCCGAAUCCAUUACUGUCAUUCCUUCUCUUUCGAAGAAAGCCUGCCUGGAACCUACCCUAAAUCCUCCGUCCAAGUCAACAUUGUUGACCACUACUGUAGUUGUCACUUCAAAAUCGAAUAAGAAAUCUCCCUUUGUUGAAUGCUGAAUAUGGAGUAUUAUAUUGUUGUCCCAAUGCAUCACCACCAGUCACCAUUUGAACUCCAGGGGUUGCAUGGAUGAAUGCUGGAUUUCCUGGCCCCCCUUGCCAUGAUGCCGGAUUAACUGAAAUGAAACCAAUCACAAAAUUUGAAUGAUCCUCAGCAAUUUUUGCUGCUGCAGUUGUGUAGUCUCCCUUGGCAAGGUUACCAGAAGAACUCAUUUCUGCAACAAGCAACAGGCCCCUACCACGAGGCAAACCCUACAAACAUUGCAAGAGUAAUAAGAAAUUAGAGAAACAAUAGUUCUAAGGCUUUUCUACAAGUCCAGACUAAUAUU